ACUGACUCUACCAUGUUGGAGAAGCCCGCUGGGCUUGGACCUGUGGGGCAGCUCUAAAAAUUGAGACUGGCUUGCUUAUCAGUGGCAGCCUCUCUGCAACAUCUAGCAAAAAGCCACGGCUCUCAGUCAAGAAAUGAAGGGGCCAACUUCCUAUGUAAGCCUGAGCGAGGAUUCGUCCAGCCUCCGGAUGAGAAUGCUGUCCAGUUGACACCAGCAGAGGAACCAGGAAAAACUGACACUUAAUUCACCAUGGUUCUCAUCAAUCAGUCUAAUCCCCAAGGAAGAAUUUCAGUCCCAGCUUUCUCAAGAGCUAUUUCAAGCAAAUGACAGUUGUUAACCUGAAACAAAUGGACCACCAGAUAGUUCUCCAGGAAAGAUGGGGGAUCAGCAGAGAAUUGCGAUGCAGGAUCUACAAUCACAACAAGAUAUAUACAAGUCCUCCACACAGCAAGGUAAGGGGAACAUUUUAUAGAAGGGAAAAGAAAGUUGGGAGGACUAUAGUAAACAGAGUCCAGGGAUUUCCAUUGGCUGAGUCCUUGCCAGGAAAGAAAAGAUUCUUUUUCCUGUUGGGCUCUGCCCUUGGUUGCUGGGCAAGAGACUCGCCCUUCUUGCCGCUCUAAUCUAUUUAAUUGAGGUUUCCGUUGAAUAUUUUUUUACACUGUCAUGAAUCUAGCUUGCUUAAAAUGGAAGUUUGAAAGACACAGCUGUUGCGUCAAGUUCCCUUUUUAUUGUGUUUCAUCGCUAUGCCCUGGUGUAUGCAGAUGCCAUGUUUCAUGGAAGGUGUUGAUGUAACAUCUAGUGGGAUUUAAGGCCAUUUUCUUAAUCUUAAAAUGAUCAUUUGAGUAGCUUCCAAAAUAACAUCACUGUCUCUAAUUUUUCUGAACUUUCCGAAAAAGUGAUCUGUGGUACUGUGAUUUAUAAUUUAAAAAUGUUUGUUUGAUCUUCAUCACCUUUCUGUCAUAGAGCUCCUAAAACCCUUGGAAUUCCCUAAGUGAUGAGAGCCAUAAUGUUGUCUUGUGUUAUGUUAAUGAGGUGACUUUCCAGACCACACUUAAGGAUGGACACUGGUUGCCAGGAGAAGUAACUACUAACCAUGUGAUUAGAGGGUUGGAAUUUUUAUUCCCACCCCUCUGACCUCUGGGAGGGGAGAAAGUCUGGAGAUUGAGUUAAAUUACCAAGAACAAUGAUUUAUCAAUUAUUCCUAUCAUGAAGCCUUCCUAAAACCCCAAAAGGACUGGGUUACAUUAACUUCUGGGUUGGUGAAAACUUGGAGGUGCUGGGAGAGCUGUGUCCCUGGAAAGGGCAUGGAAGCCCUGCCCCUUGUCCCAUGACUUCCCCUUUGCAUCUUUCCAUCUGACUGUUCCUGAGUUAUAUCUUUUUAUAGUAAACCACUAAAAUGUUCCUUUGAGUUCUGUAAGCCACUCUUAACACCCAAGGAGGAAAUCAGUGGACCCUCCAGUCUACAGUCAGUUGAUCGGAAGCGUAGGUGACAACCUGAGCUAGCAACUGGCAUCUAAAGUUGGGGGUGGGGAUCAGUCUUACAGGGCCAUGUUGAAAUUGGAUACAGAACAUUUCAGAUCGUUUACCUGAAAUCUGUGGCUGUUCUGCCCCAGAAAACUAGCAGCUGAUAAAUUUCCCUUUUUUUUUUUUUU
Sus scrofa (pig) is the source of this 1652-nucleotide non-coding RNA. NCBI's taxonomy places the organism in Eukaryota, Metazoa, Chordata, Mammalia, Artiodactyla, Suidae. The record is from RefSeq and is a predicted model, not a curated record.